AGAAUCAACGCUGGCGGCGUGCCUAACACAUGCAAGUCGCACGGAGAAAGGGUAGACGAAUACCUGAGUAAAGUGGCGCACGGGUGAGUAACACGUGAAUUAUCUACCUCCGAGUGGGGAAUAACUGAGAGAAAUCUUAGCUAAUACCGCAUAACACUUACGAGUCAAAGCAGCAAUGCGCUUGGAGAGGAGUUCGCGGCCGAUUAGUUAGUUGGCGGGGUAAUGGCCCACCAAGACGAUGAUCGGUA
Molecule: ribosomal RNA, 248 nt
Filed under: uncultured bacterium
Lineage: Bacteria
Description: partial small subunit ribosomal RNA
Rfam family: Bacterial small subunit ribosomal RNA
Source: RNAcentral